UCUCUUGGCACCAUUCCAACAGGACAA
RNAcentral lists this unclassified non-coding RNA (27 nucleotides) under Mus musculus (house mouse). RNAcentral's name for it is "oocyte_clustered_small_RNA7136". Lineage: Eukaryota; Metazoa; Chordata; Mammalia; Rodentia; Muridae. The record is from RNAcentral.